UUGCUUCCUUUGAAUUGCUCCAGGAUGCGGUGGAAUGUACUUCCGAGUAACCAAGAGAUCAAGAAGAUCGAAAGAGAGGGAUGGAGUAAUGAGCCCUUCUCAUCCCCGCAUGCAUCCUUCCCUCUUCUCAAGUGUGUAGAUUCAGAGUGAGGGAGGAAAGCAGUGAUUGAAGUCCACGCAUGCUCUAAUUCAUCUGAAUUUUCAACUGGUUUGAGGAUUAGCUUGAUAGACACUAAGGUUUCAUUAACAUAUCAGUAAAUAAAACCCUAGAAAUUUUUUUUGAAUCUGUUACCUAGGCAUGAUCUCACAAGAGAGCAAUGUAGGCCUGUUAAAUUUAUGAUGCUCUUACUAUGAGAAAUCCAUCUUUGAGCCUCUUCUAUCUUUAA
Molecule: long non-coding RNA, 386 nt
Organism: Dioscorea cayenensis subsp. rotundata (Guinea yam)
Lineage: Eukaryota; Viridiplantae; Streptophyta; Magnoliopsida; Dioscoreales; Dioscoreaceae
Exons: 2
Source: RefSeq, a predicted model, not a curated record